GAUGAACGCUGGCGGCGUGCCUAACACAUGCAAGUCGAACGGAGUCGUUUUGGAAAUCUCUUCGGAGAUGGAAUUCUCGACUUAGUGGCGGACGGGUGAGUAACGCGUGAGCAAUCUGCCUUUAAGAGGGGGAUGACAGUCGGAAACGGCUGCUAAUACCGCAUAAAGCAUUAAAUUCGCAUGUUUUUGAUGCCAAAGGAGCAAUCCGCUUUUAGAUGAGCUCGCGUCUGAUUAGCUAGUUGGCGGGGUAACGGCCCACCAAGGCGACGAUCAGUAGCCGGACUUAGAGGUUGAACGGCCACAUUGGGACUGAGACACGACCCAGACUCCUACGAGAGGCAGCAGUGGGGAAUAUUGCGCAAUGGGGGAAACCCUGACGCAGCAACGCCGCGUGAUUGAAGAAGGCCUUCGGGUUGUAAAGAUCUUUAAUCAGGGACGAAACAAAUGACGGUACCUGAAGAAUAAGCUCCGGCUAACUACGUG
Molecule: ribosomal RNA, 483 nt
Filed under: uncultured bacterium
Lineage: Bacteria
Description: partial 16S ribosomal RNA
Rfam family: Bacterial small subunit ribosomal RNA
Source: RNAcentral